UAAAAGAAAUCCACGUGCCUCUGCCUCCCAAAUGCUCAGAUUAAAGGCGUGCACCACCAUGCCCAGGUAGUAAAUUUCUUUAUGAUACAUUAUUAGUAAUCGUAUGAUCUGUGUGACUAUGCAAGUAUAUCUAACUAUCUGGGGUCACACAAAAAUUUCCUGGGUUGAGAGUGGUUUGGGAAGGGUGAUGAGUAGAAACAGAAGCCUGAUGAAGCUUGCUGUGGGUUGUUUAACAAUGCAUAAUUACUGUGGAUCCCAGGAGCUCUGGCAAGUCUUGAACCAGAAGUAAUGUACACCAGAUCGCUCUGACUUUCUCCAGGACACUUGCACAGUCACAGUGUGCUCUCCAGAACUCACAAGCCUCCUAGUUCAUGUGUGCUCAGUACCAUUCCAAAAGACCAGCAGCAGCCAUGUCCAAACGGCACAAGUAACAGAAUCCAGCAAUUAAGGAAGUUGCUGCAGAGGUCCUGAGGUCACAUAUGACCCCCUCCUCCAGGGCCAGCAGGGACGAGAUAGGGGGAUGGGGAGACAUCAAGUAACUCUCUUGGGAAGUCUGCUUGGGCUCCAGAGAUAGGUGCCGGGCGCCCCUGGGCCUGGAGGACACUUACUGUGAACAUAUGAGAGUUCAUAUCAUCAAUGGUGACAAUGUUAGUAUUAAUAAAGGUGGGCUUCCUGCCUCCCCCUCCCCCUGCCCCCCACCAUGAGCAAUCAAAAGUUCAGAAGUGGCUCCCAACAGCUUUCCAUCCUCACUGAAUAGUAGCUGCCCUGCCACGAUGAAGCAUGACAGUUUGAGGUCUCUCCUUCUUUUUGUUAAUUGGUACCAUUUCAUAAAGACAGCCUGCCUCUCCAUCCUCUUUCUAAGGUAUUAUUUUAGAUCUGUGCAUACAUUCAAAUUGUGCCACAUUUAGCCGGCAGGAGCACUCUCUUGUCAGCCAUUCUUGCAUGCUUCUACAUUGUCUUUGGGCACAUCCUUAUUCUGAGAUUGGAAGACACUCGAGCUGACUUUGUCCCAUCUCUCACGGUGGUCUGGACCUGUCACUUCUCUCUUGGUAGAGACUGGUGUUUAGAACUCAAACUCGGGGUUCUCAUUACUGUCUGGUGCCACUAGGGAGACAAGAAAUACAUUUUUUAAAGUCAUGUAUCUACCUGGUGAAGCCUUUACCUUCAAUCCAGUGUCUGUUGGGUCACCCUCAGAUCCCCACAGCCCUGUAAGUUCACUUCUCCUUUCCCAUACAGACAUUUCCCAACACCUAUACAUGUACGCAGUCAUCCAUUCUUACAACUGGCAAACUAUUUUUGUAAGGGCCACCCCACUGCUGCUUCUGAAAAGAAAGACAUCAAGCAAUACUCAGCGUGUCUUUGCAGCUCCCUUGUCUUAAGAUGUCUCUCUCUGGGAAGAGUCCAGAGAAAACCCCCAAAGCCCAAUGAAUUGCAGUAUGCCUGUGGGGUGAUAUCAAUAUGAUAGACGGCUUCCUCCCCCCGCAUCUGCUUCUGAUCAAAAGCUAAUAAAUAACAAAUAAAUCAAAGUGGAAGAGAGUGUCUUUGCAGAAAGCACUUGGGGACUAUCUCCCAGGGCAUUAGAAUGGAGAUUUUAACUUCAGUUGAAGAGAUGGAUGUGAUGAAAACUGGGCCAGACUUCCAGAGGGUGAGUUCUCGGACUUUUCUCCACAGUUCUUCUAAGCAAUCUUAAAUAAGGGUGGGGAUGAACCCUGAGGUAGGUUCUGGGCAAACUGGGAAAAUAAAAAUGUUGUUUGGUGACGAGCUGGUGGAGCACCUUGUGAGUUCAAUAGAUCAAAAUUCAAAGCGGGUGCUGAAUGUCCAGCCUGAUUGGGUUAUGUGUUGAGGGCUACAGCCUUGCUUCCCAGAUGCUGAGGCUUUGGGGAAGUGAAGAAUGCUGAGGCUGUGUGUGUGUGUGUGUGUGUGUGUGUGUGUGUGUGUGUGUGUAAGAGACAGGGAGAGGGACAGGGGCAGGGAAGGGAAGAGAGAUCAUGGAUAUGCACAUCUGUGAAGGCCAGAUGACAACCUCAGGUGUGGUUCCUCGGGUGCUGUGUGUGUGUGUGUGUGUGUGUGUUGUGUAUGGCACUGAUGCACAUGUGUGCACAUGAAUGGCCUUAGGCUGAUAUUCUGAGUCUCCCUCGGUCGCUCUCCAGCUUAUUCAUUGAGACAAGUCUCUGAAAUGAUCCCAGAGGUUGACUCUCCCAUCCAAUGUAGCUAGCCAAAUUCUCCAGGGAUCCCUGACUUAAACAAGUUCUGGAAUUACAAGUGGUCACCAAGCCUACUGGGUAUUUACAUGGGGUAGGGGUCAGGUCCUCACACUAUGAGACAAGUACCUUAUUCACGGAGUCAUUUCCCAGGCCCUGCUUUCUUGUUCUUCUUCAGACAGUCUCCUAUUGGCCGAGAGUUCACCAAGGAGCCGAGGUCAGUUGGCCAAUGAGCCCCUGGGGUCUGCCCGAUGACAUAAUGCCAAACUUUGGUCAUGAUAGAUAGUGGUGUGUGUGUGUGUGUGUGUGUGUGUGUGUGUGUUAUGAGUGCAGGUACCCUCAGAAGUCAGGAGAUGGCAUUAGAUCACACUUGAGCAGAAGUUAUAGGUGGUGUGAGCCAUCCAAUGUGGGUGAUGAGAUUCAAGUUUGGGUCCUCUCAUAGAUUGAUGGAAAUGAAGAGUUGGCUUUGGUCAAAGGAACUGGGUCACCAGGAUAUGCAUUAGGGAUGAGCCUUACCCUGACCCCUUUCUGUCACUCCCUGUCUCCAGCCCACCACAAGGUGAGUUGCUUUGCUCUACCAUGGACCCUUGGACAUGGAGCUCCGCCUCACCAUGGUGGGUCUAGAAGCAACAGAGCAAGAGACCAUGAAUUGAAACCUUUGAGACCAUGAAUCAAAAUGAAUACUUCUCCUCUUAAGUUGUUCUCAGAUAUUUUAUCAUCACGAUGGAAAGUACUAUACCCCUGGUAUGUUUUCUGUUGCUAUAACAAAGUCCCCAAGGCUAGGUUCAUUACAUAGAAAACGAGUUUAUUUGGCUCACUGUUCUCAAGUUCCAAGAGCACAGUGACAGCAUCUGGUUGACUACAGCAGGGUCAUAGCAGAUGGCCUCACAGCAGAUGGUCUCGUGGUUGUGGGAAUGCGUUUGGAAAAGGGAUUCAGGGCAGGUGCCAAACCUGAUUAUAUCAACCCAUUUCCUCCAGAACUAAUCCAGUCCAACAGACAGACUUAAUCCAUUCACGAAGCUUGAAAAGCCAUGACCUAAUUACCUUUCACUGGUCCCCAUGUCUUUAAUGUCUCACCACUGUAGCCCACACACAGGAACAAGCCUGAAGCACCUAGCCUCUCAGGGACAUACAUCCAAGUGAUGCCGAAGCCAAUGUCCACUGGGUGUUCAGACUUACCGAGCAUUUUAAACUGGUUACUGCACAACUGUGCCUAUUGAGGGUGGCUGGCAGAAGCUUCCAGGCUUUGGCAAUUUCUCUCUGGGAUGACUGUCAUUAUCCCAUGAGGACUCUGCAGCUGUGUUUGGUUGACAAACUAUUGUGACCAAAGUUUGGCAGCCGUAUUUUCCCUAAAUGUAAUAACACAGGAGAUCAAUUAACAUUCAUGCAAAUCCCACUAUUGUAAAAAGAUUUUAUUUUUGUGUGUGUGUGUGUGUGUGUGUGUGUGUGUGUGUGUGUGUACAUGAGUGCUAGUGUCCUUGGAGGUCAGAAGCAUAGGAUCCCUUGGAGCUGGAGUUACAGGUGGUCAUGAGUCACCUGACACAGUGCUAGAACCCAAACUCAGGUCCUCUGUUGGAACAAGACAUGCUCUUAACUGCUGAUGAGCCAUCUCUCCAGACCCAGGUUCCAUCAUUUUCAAACACUGUAAGAGUUCUUUAACUGAGAUCCUAGCAAUGCUAUUUCUCCCUGAGAGGUGACUGUGGGGAAAGCUGAAUGGGCAACAGAAUUAAAACAUCCCAACUAAAGUGUCUCCAGCUCUGCAAGCAGCCAACUGCCUGUGUCCUGUGAAUUCAGCCUGUUGACCCCGAACCCCCCUGCUUCUCGAACCUACCUAGCUACUAUUCAUCAUCUUGUGUUUCCUUGGGAACCAUUGAUAAGAUUUCAAAACACUUCAAAACAAUAUAACUGUUCUCUGGAGAUGUUUCCAUGGUUGCGGGGGAAACACGGUUCUCUUUUUGGCUGCAGGAAGGGAAAGAGUGGAGACUCCCACACCACAAACAAAACUGUAUCUCCAAGACCAGCUCACCUCAGGGUGUGUAGACCCUCAGGGAGGUCCAGUCCUGUAAGGUGGAGUCCAGCCUCUGCCUUCUUGUUGCUUACUAUACAGGGCCAGAGGCUGUGAAAUCAUUUUCACUUCCUCCAAUAUGACUAGAGACUGAAACUCUAGGGAGACAUGUGCCCUCGAACUGUGUAGCUCUUGGGUCUCUGUCUCUGCCUCACUUCUCUGUUUCAGUCCCUAUCGUCUCUCUCUCUCUCUCUCUCUCUCUCUCUCUCUCUCUCUCUCUCUCUCUCUCUCUCUCCCUACCCUAGUCUGUAUCUUGUAAUUAUCCAAGAUCAAGGAGAAAAUGAGCAAAGCUUUGAAGAAUGGCAGACCCAGGACUUUGGAUCUGGCUCCCCAAAUCCCUCUGUCUCAGUUAGGAUAACUAUUGCUGUGAUGAAACACCAUGACCAAAAAAAAAAAAAAAAAGCAAGUUGGGAAGAAAGGUAUCUAUUUGGCUUACACUUCUGCAUUGUAGUCCAUCAUUGAAGGAAGUCAGGACAGGAAGUAACACAGGGCAGCUGAUGCAGAGGCUAGGGAGUUCUGCUUGCUAGUUUGUCCCCUAUGGCUUGAUCAUCCUGCUUUCUUAUAUAACCCAGGACCACCAGCCCAGGGAUGGCAUUGCCCACAACCGGCUGGGUCUGCCCACAUCAAUCACUGAUUAUAAAAACGCUCCACAGGUUUCCCUACAGCCCGAUCUUGUGGAGGCAUUUUCUUAUUGAGGUUCCUUCCUCUCAGAUAACUUUAGCUUGUCUCAAGUUGACAUAAAACUAGCCAGCACACCCUCCAAAUGAAAAGAUGUACCCUGUAUGCAUAUGGACAGUGGCUGGCGUGAGAUUUUUUUGAGUCAGGCUGAUCUAGUUGAGCCUCGUCUUAACGUUUUUCAGGGAAGGUGUAGCACAGCCUUGGCUCCUGCGUGGCUCUUGCCCGGGACUAAGGUAGAACCUUUCAGACUGUUUACUGAAUGCCCUGCUUGCUUGGUGAGGUCUUCUGCCUGGCUGGGCAGAUUUUGUGUUCUAGCAACUGUCCAACAUACUGACUGCACAGUUCUUCCCUCCCCAGGUAGAUCUGGGCUGUCCAGCACAGUGACAGUGUGGUCCAAGUACCAGUGGGUCCACAAAGCCCUUCACUUUGACAAAGCUGGGCCAUAAAGCUGCAGGGAGUGGCCCAGCUGAGAAGUUCACUGGCAGUUUGACGGGUGCUUCAGGACUGUGGGCUGCUGUGUCUGAAGUACCAUAACCUCAAGAGGCUGGCUGCUGUCACAAAGAGGGGGGCCUGCAAUGGGACUUGAGAACAUCACAGGGACAGGAAAUCGCCUGCCUCAGGGACCUUCCUGCAUGUCCUAGACACCUAUCUAGUCACUUGAAGAUUUUCCCUCUGGCUGCUCCUGCUGCCCUUCUGCUGCCCUACUGCUGGUGAGGGGACUUCCUCCCUGCUUGAGUACCUAGUUAGGAGGCAACCCAACAUUCGUUCUCAGACCCUGAGAGUUCCCAGCAAAAGACUGGAAGAAAGACCUCCCGGCUCUCCAAACCAUGAAGAGCAUAACCAGGGCGAGGUCUGCCUGGGGCCGGGCUGAUGGAGCUGUUUGUUGAUGUCAAAAGCAGAAAAAGACAGGCUGUGCCCAAAACUGGGACUUUGGCUGUGCCUGCAAAUAAAUUGAGAACAUUUGGUUAUUUUA
Non-coding RNA from Cricetulus griseus (Chinese hamster), 5917 nucleotides. NCBI's taxonomy places the organism in Eukaryota, Metazoa, Chordata, Mammalia, Rodentia, Cricetidae. The record is from RefSeq and is a predicted model, not a curated record.